This 76-nucleotide transfer RNA is filed under the name Mycobacterium tuberculosis. Its description in RNAcentral is "tRNA-Trp". It matches the Rfam family "tRNA". Rfam says of the family: Transfer RNA (tRNA) molecules are approximately 80 nucleotides in length. Their secondary structure includes four short double-helical elements and three loops (D, anti-codon, and T loops). RNAcentral also lists the same sequence under 80 other names. Lineage: Bacteria; Bacillati; Actinomycetota; Actinomycetes; Mycobacteriales; Mycobacteriaceae. The record is from RNAcentral.
AGGAGUGUAGCUCAGUUGGUAGAGCAUCGGUCUCCAAAACCGAGGGCCGGGGGUUCGAGUCCCUCCACUCCUGCCA